GACAGAGGGGGCAAGCGUUGCUCGGAAUUACUGGGCGUAAAGGGCGCGUAGGCGGGAUGGCAAGUCGGUCGUGAAAUCCCUCGGCUCAACCGAGGAACGUCGAUCGAUACUGCUGUUCUUGAGGAUUGCAGAGGAGACUGGAAUUCCCGGUGUAGCGGUGAAAUGCGCAGAUAUCAGGAGGAACACCGGUGGCGAAGGCGGGUCUCUGGGCCGAUACUGACGCUGAGGAGCGAAAGCGUGGGGAGCAAACAGG
Molecule: ribosomal RNA, 253 nt
Filed under: uncultured bacterium
Lineage: Bacteria
Description: partial 16S ribosomal RNA
Rfam family: Bacterial small subunit ribosomal RNA
Source: RNAcentral